GUAACAUACAACUACUUCAACAUUGAUGCUAUGAAGGCACCCAUAUGCUGAUAUAGAUUUAUAUUUUAUGCAAAAGAUAUGAGAAACACUUACUGAUGUGGCAUUUAAAUUAUUAUAGAAUUUAGUCAUCAUUAAAUUUGUUGAAAUGCCAUUUAAGAUUUUGAAACAUUUUUUUAGCAAAGGAAAAUUUGAUUUUUCACUCUCUCCUGCAUUCUGUAUCGCUUCUUUCUCAUGUUUUAUGUAUAAAACAUGGUCCAUCAGCAUCUAGGUGCUUUUGCACAUGCAUGUUCUAUGCUAGCCAUAAUUGACAGUUUGACACCAGUGUUAAAAAUUGAUAUUUGGAGUUUGGACCAACAUUUUGAUUUUGGGUCAUUAGACCUAAAUUCAAGUAUUUAGGUUCUAUCA
Molecule: unclassified non-coding RNA, 405 nt
Filed under: Hevea brasiliensis (rubber tree)
Lineage: Eukaryota; Viridiplantae; Streptophyta; Magnoliopsida; Malpighiales; Euphorbiaceae
Source: RNAcentral